Molecule: ribosomal RNA, 253 nt
Filed under: uncultured bacterium
Lineage: Bacteria
Description: partial 16S ribosomal RNA
Rfam family: Bacterial small subunit ribosomal RNA
Source: RNAcentral
GACAGAGGCCUCGAGCGUUAGGCGGAAUCACUGGGCUUAAGGCGUGUGUAGGCGGGCCCGUAAGUGUCUUGUGAAAUCCCACGGCCCAACCGUGGAACUGCUGGGCAUACUGCGGGUCUUGGGCCAACUAGGGGCAGCCGGAACAAGCGGUGGAGCGGUGAAAUGCGUAGAUAUCGCUUGGAACGCCGAAGGUGAAAACAGGCUGCUGGGGUUGCGCCGACGCUGAGACACGAAAGCCAGGGGAGCAAACGGG